CCAUGCUCAGAGCUUCAAUAUCACUGUGGAGGCAACAGGGGAAGAGGGGAGUUUGGAUUAAGUUGCCCAUUAAACUUGUAAAUCUUGUAGAAACUGCAGUCAAGGAAGGAUUCUGGUACCACCAUGCUGAGCCAAGUUACCUCAUGCUUGUUUACUGGAUUCCUGAAACUGCAAGUACAAUCCCUGCAAAUGCAUCACACAGAGUAGGUGUUGGUGCUAUUGUCUUUAAUGACAAAAGAGAGGUGCUUGUUGUGCAGGAAAAAAGUGGCAGAUUUCGAGGAACAGGGGUGUGGAAAAUUCCCACUGGAGUUGUCGAUGAGGGUGAGGAUGUCUUCAUGGCAGCUGUUAGAGAAGUAAAAGAAGAGACAGGAAUUGACACAGAUUUUCAGGAAAUUUUGGCAUUCAGACAGUCACACAAAUCAUUCUUUGGGAAGUCGGAUUUAUUCUUCUUGUGCUUCCUGCGUCCCUUAUCUUUUGACAUCCAAAAGCAGGAACUAGAGAUUGAAGCAGCCCAGUGGAUACCAUUUGAGGAAUAUGCAGCUCAACCUUUUGCCCAGAAGCAUGAACUUUUCAAGUAUAUUGCGGACUUAUGCUUAGCAAAAGUGGACAGAACUUAUGCUGGAUUUUCUCCACUGCCUAUAACAUCAAUUUUUAGUGACCAGAUAAGUUACUUAUAUUCAAACGUACGAGAUUUGAAGCAGUCAAGUUCUGCUGAUCGCCACUAGAAACGGGCUUCUAUUGUUGUACCAUCUGUUGUAUAACUAUAUUAUUUUAUUUAUUAAUGUUUCUCGUGCACUUCAAUAAGAAAAAACACAAUACUUGAAAUGUAUUCCAAGGUUACUAAUGCUCAUCUGAAGAUGGCCAUAUCGUGAAAA
This 875-nucleotide unclassified non-coding RNA is filed under the name Hevea brasiliensis (rubber tree). The record is from RNAcentral. Lineage: Eukaryota; Viridiplantae; Streptophyta; Magnoliopsida; Malpighiales; Euphorbiaceae.